CCUACGGGUGGCUGCAGUGGGGAAUAUUGGACAAUGGGCGAAAGCCUGAUCCAGCCAUGCCGCGUGUGUGAAGAAGGCCUUCGGGUUGUAAAGCACUUUCAGUGGGGAAGAAAGCCUUGGGGCUAAUACCCUCGAGGAAGGACAUCACCCACAGAAGAAGCACCGGCUAACUCCGUGCCAGCAGCCGCGGUAAUACGGAGGGUGCGAGCGUUAAUCGGAAUUACUGGGCGUAAAGCGCGCGUAGGCGGUCUGAUAAGCCGGUUGUGAAAGCCCCGGGCUCAACCUGGGAACGGCAUCCGGAACUGUCAGGCUAGAGGGCAGGAGAGGAAGGUAGAAUUCCCGGUGUAGCGGUGAAAUGCGUAGAGAUCGGGAGGAAUACCAGUGGCGAAGGCGGCCUUCUGGACUGACACUGACGCUGAGGUGCGAAAGCGUGGGUAGCAAACAGGAUUAGAUACCCCGGUAGUC
This 465-nucleotide ribosomal RNA is filed under the name Vreelandella stevensii. RNAcentral describes it as "partial 16S ribosomal RNA". It matches the Rfam family "Bacterial small subunit ribosomal RNA", at positions 338 to 795 of the family's 1533-position model. The record is from RNAcentral. Lineage: Bacteria; Pseudomonadati; Pseudomonadota; Gammaproteobacteria; Oceanospirillales; Halomonadaceae.